RNAcentral lists this unclassified non-coding RNA (240 nucleotides) under soil metagenome. Its description in RNAcentral is "partial contains 5.8S ribosomal RNA, internal transcribed spacer 2, and large subunit ribosomal RNA". The record is from RNAcentral.
AACAUCGCGCACCUGCGGGAACCUGCGGAGGGAUCAUUAACACGUAUCCAAUAUACACCUUAUUCACCCCUUUAGUGUCAACUUGUACUGUUAAAUAUCAAAGUCUCUACGCACUGCGCUUCUUUCUUAUGAAUGAAAGUUGUUUGGUUUGGCUCACGCAGUCCGCGGCUUUGAGGGAACCUUUUUAAUAAAGGCUCUCUUUUUAGUGAUAAUCUCAGAGCAAAAUGAAACACCAUUCUA